Molecule: unclassified non-coding RNA, 237 nt
Filed under: Hevea brasiliensis (rubber tree)
Lineage: Eukaryota; Viridiplantae; Streptophyta; Magnoliopsida; Malpighiales; Euphorbiaceae
Source: RNAcentral
AGCUGGGACCUUCUUACCAUCUUCAAUAAAAUAAAUUGCAGUUUCUGGGACAUCAGGCCAGGUCUCCGUAAUGAAGUCCACAAUGUCAUAGGAUAUGUCUCCCUGAACAUCAAUCUGCUCCUUCUCAGUUGGACCCUUAACAACAGAGGCUCCAGUAGCAAACUUUUUACCAAGUUUCUUUGAUGCAUCGCUAAGUUUAACACCAAACAGGUCCAGCCCUUUAACAGUGGUGAUACA